AUUGAACGCUGGCGGCAUGCUUUACACAUGCAAGUCGAACGGCAGCGCGGGCUUCGGCCUGGCGGCGAGUGGCGAACGGGUGAGUAAUACAUCGGAACGUGCCCAGUAGUGGGGGAUAGCUCGGCGAAAGCCGGAUUAAUACCGCAUACGACCUGAGGGUGGAAGCGGGGGAUCUUCGGACCUCGCGCUAUUGGAGCGGCCGAUGGCAGAUUAGCUAGUUGGUGGGGUAAAGGCCUACCAAGGCGACGAUCUGUAGCUGGUCUGAGAGGACGACCAGCCACACUGGGACUGAGACACGGCCCAGACUCCUACGGGAGGCAGCAGUGGGGAAUUUUGGACAAUGGGCGAAAGCCUGACCCAGCAAUGCCGCGUGUGUGAUGAAGGCCUUCGGGUUGUAAAGCACUUUUGGCGGGAACGAAAAGGACUGUGCCAAUACCACGGUUCGAUGACGGUACCCGCAGAAUAAGCACCGGCUAACUACGUG
Molecule: ribosomal RNA, 484 nt
Filed under: uncultured bacterium
Lineage: Bacteria
Description: partial 16S ribosomal RNA
Rfam family: Bacterial small subunit ribosomal RNA
Source: RNAcentral